GUAGAUUUCUCUGGGUAAACAACCAAUGGGGAGAUCUCGCCAGGCAGGAUUUCUUUCCCCAGGGAAAUAUCCUCUGUUUCGGUGUCCUGAAAGCACAAGUGUAAGCCUUGGAAUGAAGAAUCACGUUUAGGCAAGAUAAACUAGAUUGGGAAGCCAUGGAAUCAAAGAUGACAAAAUUUACGAACUCAGUAAGAUGGAGUAAAUACCUUGCCCAAAGUCACACAGCUGGCAAGUAUUAAAGAUGGGA
Balaenoptera ricei (Rice's whale) is the source of this 247-nucleotide long non-coding RNA. RefSeq lists it as uncharacterized. Lineage: Eukaryota; Metazoa; Chordata; Mammalia; Artiodactyla; Balaenopteridae. The record is from RefSeq and is a predicted model, not a curated record. The transcript has 3 exons.